UAGCUCAGUUGGUUAGAGUGUCGGCCUGUCACGCCGAAGGUCGCGGGUUCGAGUCCCGU
This 59-nucleotide transfer RNA is filed under the name Sphingomonadaceae bacterium. Its description in RNAcentral is "tRNA-Asp". It matches the Rfam family "tRNA", at positions 8 to 63 of the family's 71-position model. Rfam says of the family: Transfer RNA (tRNA) molecules are approximately 80 nucleotides in length. Their secondary structure includes four short double-helical elements and three loops (D, anti-codon, and T loops). Lineage: Bacteria; Pseudomonadati; Pseudomonadota; Alphaproteobacteria; Sphingomonadales; Sphingomonadaceae. The record is from RNAcentral.